This is a long non-coding RNA of Oryzias latipes (Japanese medaka), 1319 nucleotides long. RefSeq lists it as uncharacterized. The record is from RefSeq and is a predicted model, not a curated record. Lineage: Eukaryota; Metazoa; Chordata; Actinopteri; Beloniformes; Adrianichthyidae.
CACAAAACAGAGUCGAAGCUCCUGCUAGCGCGCUAGCUUAAGUUAGGGUUCGGAAGAGCGGGGAGGGCAGAUGAGCUGCCCGUCUUUGCCUUCACGCUCGCGCCUGAGGAUAGAGCGCCGCGCCCCUCGAGGGCUCCAGCCUCGCCGCUAAGCCCGUCUGGGAGUCUCCCGUUCCCGUCGGGGGAGACACGUCGGCUUCACACUUACAUAUUUUCCCCCGCAGACUCUGUAAAAUCCGGAUCUUAGCGUCGUCUUCUUCCGCCAUGGCAAAGCGGAGGAGAGCCAGCCCCAACAACACCGCGUCACGUCAGCUCUCGUGCAAACCCGAGAAUGAAAACAUUUGGAGAAAUCUUCAGGUUUUUUUUGUUUUCUCUCUUCAGGAGCUUCUCAGCCUGGAACUGUAUGCUGCCGGUUUCUUCCUGACAUUCUGGAGGCAUGUCCUCCAGUCCUGAUAAUAAGCUGUUUCCAGCACAUGAUAGACUGAAAACAUCAGCGUGCAGAUGACUCCAGCAUCUACGUCCUUUCGCCUCCAUCCGUGCAGCCAAUGUCCCGGCUGUGCCUCUUCCAGGGGGAUAACUCGCAGCUUAUGCCGCUAAAGUGGAGCACGCGUGGGUGAAAACGGGGCUCAUGGGCGCGUUUGUUCGGGAGCCACUGAGCAGGAAACGGCAACUUUUUCUAAGCUGGGUGGAGGACCGAAGGGAGAGCCGAGGGUUGCAGGGCGCCACAUCAGCUCCGGUCUGGACUCCACGGCUGCAUUCUGGUCUGUGCCGGGAGUCGGUCUCCUUCAGUGCAUGUGGACCGUAGCAGGGAAACCAUUUAGCAACGUUCAAAAGCCGGCAGCACUCUUAGGAGGAACAUACAUCCUCCACACAAAAACGACGCCGUCUGCUUCCAGCUGGCGCGCACAGCCUCUGACUGUGCAGCCGCACCAUGCUUAUUCAGUCAGAGUGGUUAGAUAACGUGGAAGCAGACGAGAGGCGUCCCCCGCUGCACUGCGCAGCCACGGCAUGCGGGACAGAUGUUCAGACAGGCUUUUUUUUUUUUGUGGCGGGGGAAACCAACGUAAGCUGUGUGCUCCCAGCAGGGAUUCAGAGGUGGACCAACGUGGAGGCUGCUGCUGCUGCUGAUUGAUGCAAAAACAGCAGAUGCGUCAGCACUGCAGACGGGGGGGAGGGGGGAGGAAGCUAAACGCUCCAAAGCCUCGGAGGACAGAAGCGACUGUUUACAAAAGAUGACUGCAGAGGAUUUUUACCCAGACUAACUACACUACAAAAACGCAAACCUGAGAAAAUAAAAAGACCUUUGUUUCAAGAAAAAAA